This is a long non-coding RNA of Alexandromys fortis (reed vole), 2400 nucleotides long. RefSeq lists it as uncharacterized. The transcript is spliced from 2 exons. Lineage: Eukaryota; Metazoa; Chordata; Mammalia; Rodentia; Cricetidae. The record is from RefSeq and is a predicted model, not a curated record.
AUUCGGGCCACCUGCUGGGCUGAAGGUGAAGGCAAGUGCUGAGCGAGGGUCGCCUCUCCUGGGAGCCUCUGGCUGAUGGGAGCAAAGAUUAAUCAUCUUCUCCUUGCGCGGUUCGGCCACGGUAUCUUUGUCACAAUGAUGGGAAGCUUACUAACAGAGGCGUCACAGCAGAGCUCUCUGGAAGCCCCGGGAGUUGCACAACCUCUCAAAGGGUCAUGGCCUCUGCUGCCCCUCCUGCUGCCCUCCCAGGAAGAAACAAGGGAAUGUGAAUGAGGACCAGUCCUGCUCCAGAGAGCAUCCCAAGCUCGGCUCUCACUGAGAGGAAAAGUUAAUUAAUCCUCCACAACCACAAAGGGGGGAAAAACAGAACAAUGAGAAUAGUGUGCUAAGGUUUUUGUGCAACGUGGGGAAAAUAGAACAGAAUGUGAAUGUGUCUGUGUCUGCUUAGAUGGAAGGAUGCCUCCAAAAGCUGUAAAGACGGUUGCCUCUGGGAAGAGAGCCUGCCAGGAAGAAAGCAAGGAGGCAUUCCAGCGUGUUCCCUUCUGGGCCUUUGGAAACAGUUGAAGAAGGAAACACAGAGGCUUGGCACACAGCUCAGUGAUGGCCACUUGCCUAGCUGGCCCCAGGUUCGUCCUUAGCACUAGAGACAGAGUAAAUAUAAAAUGCGCACAAGUGUUUGAUGGAAUAAGCAACAGACCACUGAAGGUACCCCACAUGAUGGUACCCUACAACUGAGGUCUAAAAUGAGUAAAUCCUCUUCUCUGUGUGUAUGUACUUCUGGUAAUCAAACUCAGGUCUCAUGUGUGCCAGACAAGUGUUCCAUUACUGAGCUACAACAUAAGGUGACUUUUUCAAGGGAUUCUCAGAAUUAAGGUCUGGGGAUUGGGGAUCAGAAUCCCAGAACUCCUUGAUGAUGGUCAUCCUUCUAGUAGGUGGCCUUUUUAUUUCUUUUUUCUGUUAUCUUCCUGUUUCUGCCUUUGCCCAGAGGUCCAGCGUGCCGCCACUCUCCUGUCUGGUCACGUUCCUGGCCACCAAGGCUGUAUCUGUAAGUCUGUGGUAAGGUGGCCUUUGGGGUGGUACCCAAUCUUGUAAAAGUAUCCAGUUGUGGGUCAGGACAGGAAGAAGCCGGCCUUCAAGAUAGUUGCUUAGAGCCUGCAAAGCUUCUCUCAAAGGGGACUGCAGUACACAAAGAGCCCAGGACACCAUGGAUUCGGGAGCCUGUGUUCACCUCCCCAGGGUGCUGUCUCUCCUGGAUGUGUUCUUGUGAACAAAGGCCAGAAUACAAUGGACUGUGAUGUUUGUUCCAAAAAAGAAGGUUCAGAGUUAUAGGGCCCAGCUAUGAUGAGCUCAAUAGAGGCCCAGGGCUUACCCUAAGGCAAUACCUGGCGGGUUCCAAGUGAGACCACUCAGGUACCACUCAGGAACAGACCAUCCAAAAGAAAUUCCUAAUGUUCCAACUGUUGUAGAAAGGAUCACCUGAUGUCCCUUAGCCCAGCACACCCAUCCCCCUUCACCAAGACACCCCUAGACAAAUGUCAGCCAAUCAGGGGUCCUGAACCUUAGAAAUCCCUCACCUCAACCUCUGCUAUUAUAAAAACUCACCCAACUGACUCAAGGCUCUCUGAAUGUGCCAAUGUAUCGGAUGCACAGAGUCUGAAUUCAAACUUUACUUUUACACACGUGACUCCGUCUCCUUGUUGGUUUGGGGGGGGGGGGUGACUGUGAACUGGGCAUAACAAUAGUCAGAAACACCUGAUGCAAAAGCCCUUGCCUCUCUCCUCAACUCUGUUCUGUUCUCUUUGCCAGAACUCUAACAGUGGUGAAAACAUUGGCAGUUUGGGGUAAUCUACACACUGAAAAACAGAGACACAAAAAAAUCACAGUAAGCACAUGGGAUUCCAAAUCAAAGUCUGGGUCUUUUAUGUAACCAUGUCAUUCAUUAGCACUAUGACCUUAGGCAGGAUGAUGAACGCCAUAGAAACCCCUUAUCUUCACUGAUGAGGGAACUGUGACACCUAAUUCCUCAAAGUGCCCAGGGGAUUAAAAAAUUAAUAUGCAUGACAAUGGGACAGGACAAGACUGCAAAGGUUCUUCCAUCUUACAUUCUUUCUGGGACCAUUUUAGGUUUAGCUAGAAUUUGAUCACCUUGAUGGAAAGCCCGGUGGAAAAUUACCCAAGUCUACUCUAGGUACCUGAGGUCAAGCUGCCCCAGCUAACUUAUCUGAGCUUCUGUUAAACUGCUUGCUUGCACAAAACCUCCCCUUCCAGCUGCUGAGCCUGAUACCAAGAUGUGGUUUGUUGCCUUUUAAAACCCCUUACUCUAAAUGCUUGGCAUUAUACUUGGGUACUGAAUGCCUGAGUGUAGUCCUGGCCAGCUGGAAUAAAGACUUCUGGAAACUG